This 795-nucleotide ribosomal RNA is filed under the name uncultured Pelagibacteraceae bacterium. Its description in RNAcentral is "bacterial SSU rRNA". It matches the Rfam family "Bacterial small subunit ribosomal RNA", at positions 44 to 887 of the family's 1533-position model. Lineage: Bacteria; Pseudomonadati; Pseudomonadota; Alphaproteobacteria; Candidatus Pelagibacterales; Candidatus Pelagibacteraceae. The record is from RNAcentral.
ACGCCUAACACAUGCAAGUCGAACGAAGUAGCAAUACUUAGUGGCAGACGGGUGAGUAACAUGUGGGUAUCUGCCCUUUGGCCUGGAAUAACACGAGGAAACUUGUGCUAAUACCGGAUAAGUCUUUACAGAGAAAGCUUUAUGCACCAUUGGAUGAGCCCGCACUUGAUUAGUUUGUUGGUGGGGUAAUGGCCUACCAAGACUGUGAUCAAUAGCUGAUUUGAGAGGAUGAUCAGCCACAUUGGGACUGAGACACGGCCCAAACUCCUACGGGAGGCAGCAGUGGGGAAUCUUGCACAAUGGAGGAAACUCUGAUGCAGCGAUGCCGCGUGAGUGAAGAAGGCCCUUGGGUUGUAAAGCUCUUUCGUCGGGGAAGAAAAUGACUGUACCCGAAUAAGAAGGUCCGGCUAACUUCGUGCCAGCAGCCGCGGUAAUACGAAGGGACCUAGCGUAGUUCGGAAUUACUGGGCUUAAAGAGUUCGUAGGUGGUUGAAAAAGUUGGUGGUGAAAUCCCAGAGCUUAACUCUGGAACUGCCAUCAAAACUUUUCAGCUAGAGUAUGAUAGAGGAAAGCAGAAUUUCUAGUGUAGAGGUGAAAUUCGUAGAUAUUAGAAAGAAUACCAAUUGCGAAGGCAGCUUUCUGGAUCAUUACUGACACUGAGGAACGAAAGCAUGGGUAGCGAAGAGGAUUAGAUACCCUCGUAGUCCAUGCCGUAAACGAUGUGUGUUAGACGUUGGAAAUUUAUUUUCAGUGUCGCAGCGAAAGCGAUAAACACACCGCCUGGGGAGUACGACC